UUAUUGGUUCAGUUAGUGUGUUUAACAGCAAUCAGUGAAGCUGAUCUUCCGAUCACGCCCCAGUGAGGGAAUUAAGGACGGCACAUUGUCCUUGUAACGGGGAUCCAGCAGGGUGGCCACCCAGUAAUCAGCACAAGUUAGAAUGUGGGCAACUCAGCAGUCGUUGCGCAGGCACUUUGGUGACUCUAGAUAACCUCGUGCCAAUCGCACAUCCCCAUGACAGCGACGACAGCGACGGAUGUCUGCCCUAUCAGCUUUCUAUGGUACUUUCUGCGCCUACCAUGGUGACCACGGGUAACGGGGAAUCAAGGUUCGAUUCCGGA
Pelobates cultripes (western spadefoot toad) is the source of this 323-nucleotide non-coding RNA. The record is from the annotation of a GenBank genome assembly. Lineage: Eukaryota; Metazoa; Chordata; Amphibia; Anura; Pelobatidae.